GACCGGCGCACGGGUGCGUAACACGUAUGCAACCUACCCAUAAGCGGGGAAUAACCCGGAGAAUUCGGACUAAUACCGCAUGGUACGCAAGAGAGGCAUCUUUCUUGUUUUAAAGAUUUAUCACUUAUGGAUGGGCAUGCGCAUGAUUAGAUAGUAGGCGGGGUAACGGCCCACCUAGUCAACGAUCAUUAGGGGUUCUGAGAGGAAGGUCCCCCACACUGGUACUGAGACACGGACCAGACUCCUACGGGAGGCAGCAGUGAGGAAUAUUGGUCAAUGGGCGAGAGCCUGAACCAGCCAAGUCGCGUGAAGGAAGAAGGAUCUAUGGUUCGUAAACUUCUUUUAUAUGGGAAUAAAGUGUAGGACGAGUCCUAUUUUGUAAGUACCAUAUGAAUAAGCAUCGGCUAACUCCGUGCCAGCAGCCGCGGUAAUACGGAGGAUGCGAGCGUUAUCCGGAUUUAUUGGGUUUAAAGGGUGCGUAGGCGGACUUUUAAGUCAGUGGUAAAAUCUUGCAGCUCAACUGUAAGUAGCCAUCGAAACUGGAGGUCUUGAGUGUAAAUGAGGUAGGCGGAAUGUGUUGUGUAGCGGUGAAAUGCUUAGAUAUGACACAGAACACCAAUUGCGAAGGCAGCUUACUAAGAUACAACUGACGCUGAUGGACGAAAGCGUGGGGAGCGAACAGGAUUAGAU
Molecule: ribosomal RNA, 690 nt
Filed under: uncultured bacterium
Lineage: Bacteria
Description: bacterial SSU rRNA
Rfam family: Bacterial small subunit ribosomal RNA
Source: RNAcentral